RNAcentral lists this long non-coding RNA (1590 nucleotides) under Marmota monax (woodchuck). The record is from RNAcentral. Lineage: Eukaryota; Metazoa; Chordata; Mammalia; Rodentia; Sciuridae.
GUGGCCUCCUGCACGCUUGCUCCUUCCCCAUUGGCCCCUCAACUGCUCUCCCCUCCCAUUUCCAGCUCAAGGUGGUGCUGCCCGGCCCCCCUGAAGCCCUGAGCCAGGCUGCCCCUGGGACUGUAAGUCCUGCUGCCUCCUGUCCAGCUACUGAGCAGUGACAACCCUGAGCUGCUGCUGUGUUUCGGCUGCCACAGGCCCCCUGCUUCUUGUCCUGUGCUCGUGCUUGACUGAGAAUGUUACUGUGGCUGUGCAGCCACCCUCCCUGAGGUUAACAGGUCUUCACACCCUCGAGGGUGGGCCUCAGCAGGGAGGACUAUCCUGAGCCUCUUGCCCAGGAUGGCACUCUGCUUCUGAGUGGCUGAUUGAGGGGCCCUAGGCACAGCUGGGGCACUGAGCUCCCCUGCCCUUCCCUUCCCUUGCCUUGCAGAGCUCAGGCCCUGGGGCCUCUGGCGGGCCUGGUGGAGACCACAGCGAGCUGGCUGUACGCAUUGCCAGCCUGGAAGUAGAGAACCAGAACCUGCGAAGUGGUGAGGCCUGGGCUGAUGGUUGGGUCCCUCCCCACCCCAGACCUGCCAUCCGACCCUGUCCCCUUGUACCCACAGUGGUGCAGGACCUGCAGCAGGCCAUUGCUAGGCUGGAGGCCCGGCUGAGCAUGCUGGAGAAGAGCUCGCCCGCCCACCGAGCCACAGCCCCUCAAACCCAGGUGAGCACCCUCCUGGCUCACACCUCUUGCUGUGGUCAGCAGUGAGGUAGUAGGGCCCAGAAAGGUUCAUGGUGCCCAGGCUGACCCCCAAGUCAGGGUGGAGGGAGCUUGUCCUCACCUGGGGGGGCAGUUCCUGUGGACCCAGAGCCCAGGCCCUUGGGAUGCCUAGGGUCAGCAGAGAGGAGAGGCCUGGCUGGGUCUCAGCCUCUCCUCACCUGUGGCAGCACGUGUCUCCCAUGCGCCAAGUGGAACCCCCAGCCAAGAAGGCUGCCACACCUGCAGAGGACGACGAGGACAAUGAUAUUGACCUGUUUGGCAGCGGUGAUGAGGAGGAGGACAAGGAGGCAGCUCGGCUGCGGGAGGAAAGGCUGCGGCAGUAUGCAGAGAAGAAGGCCAAGAAGCCCUUGCUGGUGGCCAAGUCUUCCAUCCUCCUGGAUGUCAAACCUGUGAGUGGGAGUAGGGAGGGACUCGGGGAGGGCAGGAGUCCCCUCAACCGGCAGGAUAUAGUGGCCUGCCCACAGCCUCAGCCUCUGACUCUUCCUGGUGGGAAGUCAAGAUUAGAAAUCUUGGGAUAAGAACAGAAACUUGGGGCCAGGCGGGUGUAAGUGGGGCUGUUUCCAAGAGCCCUUCAAAAGAAGCAGAGUUAUGUCUUCGUGGUGGUUCAAGGCCAAAGAGGGGUGGGCUCUCCCCUGGUGCUCUGGGGGUUUCUGGGUGGCUCACUCUGCCUUCCUCCACUCUCUCACAGUGGGAUGAUGAGACAGACAUGGCCCAGCUGGAGGCCUGUGUGCGCUCCAUCCAGCUGGAUGGGCUGCUCUGGGGUGGCUCUCAGCUGGUGCCUGUGGGCUAUGGCAUCCGCAAGCUGCGGAUCCAGUGUGUGGUGGAGG